This is a long non-coding RNA of Neoarius graeffei (lesser salmon catfish), 1088 nucleotides long. RefSeq lists it as uncharacterized. Lineage: Eukaryota; Metazoa; Chordata; Actinopteri; Siluriformes; Ariidae. The record is from RefSeq and is a predicted model, not a curated record. The transcript has 3 exons.
UUCACACCUACGGUCAAUUUAGAGUCACCAGUUAACCUAACCUGCAUGUCUUUGGACUGUGGGGGAAACCGGAGCACCCGGAGGAAACCCACGUGGACACGGGGAGAACAUGCAAACUCCACACAGAAAGGCCCUUGCCGGCCCCGGGGCUCGAACCCAGGACCUUCUUGCUGUGAGGCGACAGCGCUAACCACUACACCACCGUGCCGCCCGGGCCAUGUCAUAUGUGAGGGAAUCCAACCCACCUUCUUGACUGGGCUUGCUGCCUUAUUUUCCACCUUCUACAUCUUCAAUCUCAAAUACCAAGAAGAGGCCUCAUGCACUCUUGAGUUCAUCCAAAGGCGCUUCAUUGGUAUAAACCCUGAGCGAGGCACCAAGGCUGAACGGGGCAAAGUCUUGUAAAAAAAAACUGGCAAAGCCACCAGCAAAAAGAUGACAACAGUCAACCCACAUGUAUCCACUCUGCUGAGAAGACUCAUGGACUUUCAGUGGGACUUCAUUUAAAAUGGGUAGAAAGUCGGAAUCCCUGUUAUUCUCGCUAAGUUAUUUGUAUCCUGUUUCUGAACAUACACAUACCACUGUUUGAAUGUUUCAUGCUGGCAUGUUUUGACUGUCUGAGGGGUUAGGUCAGGACUUUGGAUAUUUUUUCAGGGCUUGUGAUACUUUUGUUUGGAUUUUUAUGUUCAUUGACCAUAUUACAAUAUAUAGCAGAUUACAAGAGGAUACUAAGGGCACACACAAAGUUUGUAACUUUAUGAUUUAUCUAUUGCUCAACUGUCUGUAACUGUCAGUAUUCCACAAAGAAAGCAAGUUUGCCGGGUGCUAUAAUUUCUGUAAAUUGUCUUUGUCUUAUUUUGAACCUGAAUUGUGAAUCAUAGCUGCAGAAUUUAUUCAGGGUUUUUUUUUAUUUUUUGUUGUUUUUUAAACACACUAUCAUGACAAUGCAAAAUGUGCACACUUAUCUGGCUAACUUUCUAAUCUGCUUUGUGGAACAGUCCCUUAGAGGUUUCAUUAUCUGAACGUUGUUGUGGUCAGUUUCAAGUCAAUAUUUCCAAGUCUGAAUGAAUGCCUCGUUCUUUUAUUGCACU